CUGCACGGCCAAGCCAGUGGGGAAUAUUUGGCAUCAAAUGGCCGCCAGCCUGAUGCAGCGACGCCCGCGUGAGGGAUGACGGCCUUCGGGUGUAAACCUCUUUCAGUACCGACGAAGCGCAAGUGACGGUAGGUACAGAAGAAGGACCCGGCCAAACUACGUGCCAGCAGCCGCGGUAAUACGUAGGGUCCGAGCGUUGUCCGGGAAUUACUGGGCGUAAAGAGCUCGUAGGUGGUUUGUCGCGUUGUUCGUGAAAACUCACAGCUUAACUGUGGGCGUGCGGGCGAUACGGGCAGACUAGAGUACUGCAGGGGAGACUGGAAUUCCUGGUGUAGCGGUGGAAUGCGCAGAUAUCAGGAGGAACACCGGUGGCGAAGGCGGGUCUCUGGGCAGUAACUGACGCUGAGGAGCGAAAGCGUGGGGAGCGAACAGGAUUAGAUACCCUGGUAGUCCACGCCGUAAACGGUGGGUACUAGGUGUGGGUUUCCUUCCUUGGGAUCCGUGCCGUAGCUAACGCAUUAAGUACCCCGCCUGGGGAGUACGGCCGCAAGGCUAAAACUCAAAGGAAUUGACGGGGGCCCGCACAAGCGGCGGAGCAUGUGGAUUAAUUCGAUGCAACGCGAAGAACCUUACCUGGGUUUGACAUGCACAGGACGCCGGCAGAGAUGUCGGUUCCCUUGUGGCCUGUGUGCAGGUGGUGCAUGGCUGUCGUCAGCUCGUGUCGUGAGAUGUUGGGUUAAGUCCCGCAACGAGCGCAACCCUUGUCUCAUGUUGCCAGCACGUUAUGGUGGGGACUCGUGAGAGACUGCCGGGGUCAACUCGGAGGAAGGUGGGGAUGACGUCAAGUCAUCAUGCCCCUUAUGUCCAGGGCUUCACACAUGCUACAAUGGCCGGUACAAAGGGCUGCGAUGCCGUAAGGUGGAGCGAAUCCUUUCAAAGCCGGUCUCAGUUCGGAUCGGGGUCUGCAACUCGACCCCGUGAAGUCGGAGUCGCUAGUAAUCGCAGAUCAGCAACGCUGCGGUGAAUACGUUCCCGGGCCUUGUACACACCGCCCGUCACGUCAUGAAAGUCGGUAACACCCGAAGCCGGUGUGCACUAGUCCGACCUGUGGCACAGAGUCAGGACGACUUAGAAAUCCC
This 1139-nucleotide ribosomal RNA is filed under the name Mycobacterium sp. Its description in RNAcentral is "bacterial SSU rRNA". It matches the Rfam family "Bacterial small subunit ribosomal RNA", at positions 339 to 1468 of the family's 1533-position model. The record is from RNAcentral. Lineage: Bacteria; Bacillati; Actinomycetota; Actinomycetes; Mycobacteriales; Mycobacteriaceae.